Molecule: long non-coding RNA, 640 nt
Filed under: Aotus nancymaae (Ma's night monkey)
Lineage: Eukaryota; Metazoa; Chordata; Mammalia; Primates; Aotidae
Description: lncRNA (ENSANAG00000038858.1)
Source: RNAcentral
CACGCACGGUGCACACGCAGGCCGCUGGUCGAGGGCUUCGCUGCGGACCGCGCCCCUGGCUGGAGUGACUGCCGUCCUGUCCUGGGAGAAUCUCGCCUCUUGCGCCCCGGAUCUCAGAGAGAAUCUUGUAUACCAUUAGUGGUGCACUUGGGGACACAUUGUGGUGUCUGUGGAGAGAAAGAAGAAGCUGACAUCUGAUACGAGAGGUCUCCGGAAGCUGCCUGGAGUUCACCAGCCUCCACUCCUUUGCCUGAGCUGAUUCCCCAUGAAGCGCUCUGUCACUUGCAAUCCUUCCUUCUUUGGGUCACCUUCUCCUGCAUCUCUCCUAAAGGAAGACAUUUUCUUUCCUCUGAAAUGCUCACUAGAGCCACACGGGGGACCCGGAAGAAAUUCAGGUUGCAGAACCAGGAGAGGAGCAGCUGCCCCAAACUCAGUUCCACCCACAUCCGCACAUCCCAGUGAGUCCCCGUUGGACACAAGACCCACCACUUCCUUCUUCUCUGCGGAGCCACAUCCGAAUUCAGCCCUGAAGUUAUCUUCUUUAACUUUUCCCCAACAAUCUGCAGAAACAUGGGUCAGGUAACCUCCCAUUUGAAAUGUUGACAACCUCAGCUUCCUAAUAAAAUAAAAGCCUGCUUUC